This is a long non-coding RNA of Manacus vitellinus (golden-collared manakin), 403 nucleotides long. Lineage: Eukaryota; Metazoa; Chordata; Aves; Passeriformes; Pipridae. The record is from Ensembl.
CAUAUAGGUGACAGACUGUAUUACCCUGCAAAGAGAUGCAAGCAUACAACUGUUCAUAAAGGUUGUCUUAUUGUAGUGGGUCCCACAGAGUCUGAUAUUAUGUGAUAAAACUAUAAUAAUUCAUGCAGAAGCCAGACUAUCUACAACAGCUAGCGAGGAAAUGGAAAAUGGAUACCACAAAAUGCUACUGGAAAAUCCCAAAAUAAUUAAUGCAGAUGUCAACAGAAAGAAAAAUUCCCAGGGAGAGUCAUCGUAUCUGGAAAAAGGCACAUAAACAACUGGCAAACCCUUUCUACAAAGGAUAUGAGGGUACCUAUUUAGAACAUAAAAGAAGAGGGAACUGCCUGUUAUGUGUUCUGAAAUGAUCCCUUUUCAUUACAACUUCAGAAUUUUUUGUCUCUGG